UUCUGAUUCCAGAUGUAAAAAUAAUGUGAGAAAUUAACUUUAUAUCUAAAAAAAAGUUAAACUACUUAUCCAAAUUACUUGGGAAAUACAAUAUUCUGAUGAGAAGAGAUGCCAUUAUACACCUUAUGAAAAUUUCCAGUGUUGAAAGAUUGUCAACAUCUUUACAGGUACCACAUUAAAACUAUACUGACGGUGGUUUUGUGUUUCUCCUUGUUAAUUUGCAGGGCACUUGUGGAUCUAUAGACCUCAGGGUCAUUGAUAUGUAUGGCUUAUGGUUGAAAAUUCUCUAGAGGAAAGCAUUUAGUUACUUGGCUUCGGUUCAUUUGAGUUACAAAUAAGCUAGAGUAGACUUCUGUGUAUUCCUUUCUUGAUGAGAUGCAACUUUCAACCGAGAGGGAAACUGGCACUGAUUUCUCUGUGGUAACCCUUGUUCUCUGUGUCUUUUCUGGAUACAACAGUUCUGUGGAAGCAAAUCAUUGAACGCAAUGGAGGAGUCCUCACCAGUGCCUUGAAUGUCAGCUGCCUGGCGAAGGUCACUGACGGCUUCACCCAAGGACAUAUAGUCGAAGUGGUUAAAGGCGUGCUCACAGAUCAGAGAAUCCGGCGGCAAAUUCAUAAACCUCUCACUGCAGUUGAGUUUAUUACAGCGAUAACCAGCAUGAAUCCAGUGUACAAAGAGGAAGAAGAGAGCUUCAAGAACUGGUAUGCCAAAACUCCUCUGGGUAAAAAACGUGCCUUGGCGAUAACAGGAGGCAGCACAGAAAAGGCAAAGGACAAAGGGAAAAGGAAA
This 790-nucleotide small RNA is filed under the name Pan troglodytes (chimpanzee). RNAcentral's name for it is "retained intron". Lineage: Eukaryota; Metazoa; Chordata; Mammalia; Primates; Hominidae. The record is from RNAcentral.